This 303-nucleotide ribosomal RNA is filed under the name uncultured bacterium. Its description in RNAcentral is "partial 16S ribosomal RNA". It matches the Rfam family "Bacterial small subunit ribosomal RNA", at positions 507 to 807 of the family's 1533-position model. The record is from RNAcentral.
AGCAGUCGCCGCGGGAAUACGUAGGUGGCAAGCGUUGUCCGGAAUUAUUGGGCGUAAAGGGCUUGCAGGCGGUUUCUUAAGUCUGAUGUGAAAGCCCCCGGCUCAACCGGGGAGGGUCAUUGGAAACUGGGAAACUUGAGUGCAGAAGAGGAGAGUGGAAUUCCACGUGUAGCGGUGAAAUGCGUAGAGAUGUGGAGGAACACCAGUGGCGAAGGCGACUCUCUGGUCUGUAACUGACGCUGAGGAGCGAAAGCGUGGGGAGCGAACAGGAUUAGAUACCCCUGUAGUCCCUGUCUCUUAUAC